CAGUCGCCGCGGGAAAACGUAGGUGGCAAGCGUUGUCCGGAAUUAUUGGGCGUAAAGCGCGCGCAGGUGGUCUAAUAAGUCUGAUGUGAAAGCCCACGGCUCAACCGUGGAGGGUCAUUGGAAACUGUUAAACUUGAGUGCAGGAGAGAGAAGUGGAAUUCCUAGUGUAGCGGUGAAAUGCGUAGAGAUUAGGAGGAACACCAGUGGCGAAGGCGGCUUUUUGGCCUGUAACUGACACUGAGGCGCGAAAGCGUGGGGAGCAACAGGAUUAGAUACCCCCGUAGUCCCUGUCUCUUAUACA
Molecule: ribosomal RNA, 301 nt
Filed under: uncultured bacterium
Lineage: Bacteria
Description: partial 16S ribosomal RNA
Rfam family: Bacterial small subunit ribosomal RNA
Source: RNAcentral